GUGGGGAAUUUUGGACAAUGGGCGCAAGCCUGAUCCAGCAAUGCCGCGUGCAGGAAGAAGGCCUUCGGGUUGUAAACUGCUUUUGUACGGAACGAAAAGGCUCUGGUUAAUACCUGGGGCUCAUGACGGUACCGUAAGAAUAAGCACCGGCUAACUACGUGCCAGCAGCCGCGGUAAUACGUAGGGUGCAAGCGUUAAUCGGAAUUACUGGGCGUAAAGCGUGCGCAGGCGGUUUUGUAAGACAGGCGUGAAAUCCCCGGGCUCAACCGGGGAAUGGCGCUUGUGACUGCAAGGCUGGAGUGCGGCAGAGGGGGAUGGAAUUCCGCGUGUAGCAGUGAAAUGCGUAGAUAUGCGGAGGAACACCGAUGGCGAAGGCAAUCCCCUGGGCCUGCACUGACGCUCAUGCACGAAAGCGUGGGGAGCAAACAGGAUUAGAAACCCGAGUAGUCC
RNAcentral lists this ribosomal RNA (450 nucleotides) under uncultured bacterium. Its description in RNAcentral is "partial 16S ribosomal RNA". It matches the Rfam family "Bacterial small subunit ribosomal RNA", at positions 354 to 796 of the family's 1533-position model. The record is from RNAcentral.